UACGAAGGGGGCUAGCGUUGUUCGGAAUUACUGGGCGUAAAGCGCGCGUAGGCGGCUUUGCAAGUCGGGUGUGAAAUCCCCAGGCUUAACCUGGGAACUGCAUUCGAGACUGCAUUGCUAGAGUAUGGGAGAGGGAAGUGGAAUUUCCGGUGUAGCGGUGAAAUGCGUAGAUAUCGGAAGGAACAUCAGUGGCGAAAGCGACUUCCUGGACCAAUACUGACGCUCAUGUGCGAAAGCGUGGGGAGCAAACAGG
This 253-nucleotide ribosomal RNA is filed under the name uncultured bacterium. RNAcentral's name for it is "partial 16S ribosomal RNA". It matches the Rfam family "Bacterial small subunit ribosomal RNA", at positions 524 to 776 of the family's 1533-position model. The record is from RNAcentral.